This 151-nucleotide ribosomal RNA is filed under the name uncultured Geothermobacter sp. RNAcentral's name for it is "partial 16S ribosomal RNA". It matches the Rfam family "Bacterial small subunit ribosomal RNA", at positions 1232 to 1382 of the family's 1533-position model. The record is from RNAcentral. Lineage: Bacteria; Pseudomonadati; Thermodesulfobacteriota; Desulfuromonadia; Desulfuromonadales; Geothermobacteraceae.
GGCCGGUACAAAGGGUCGCAAUACCGCAAGGUGGAGCUAAUCCCAAAAAGCCGGUCUCAGUUCGGAUUGGAGUCUGCAACUCGACUCCAUGAAGUCGGAAUCGCUAGUAAUCGCGUAUCAGCAUGACGCGGUGAAUACGUUCCCGGGCCUU